UCUAUUAUGGCAGAUUAGUGCAAUGGACUUAAACCCCAUUUAUAAAGUAAAUACUUUUUUUAGAA
This is a non-coding RNA of Tribolium castaneum (red flour beetle), 65 nucleotides long. The record is from the annotation of a RefSeq genome assembly. Lineage: Eukaryota; Metazoa; Arthropoda; Insecta; Coleoptera; Tenebrionidae.